CGAGAGGGGGCGAGCGUUAUUCGGAAUUAUUGGGCGUAAAGGGCGCGUAGGCGGCCUUUCAAGUGACGGGUGAAAUCCCUCGGCUUAACCGAGGAACUGCCUGUCAGACUGGAAGGCUUGAGACCGGGAGAGGUGAGUGGAAUUCCCAGUGUAGCGGUGAAAUGCGUAGAUAUUGGGAGGAACACCAGUGGCGAAGGCGGCUCACUGGACCGGUACUGACGCUGAGGCGCGAAAGCGUGGGGAGCAAACAGGAUUAGAUACCCUGGUAGUCCACGCCGUAAACGAUGAGUGCUUGGUGUAGCGGGAAUCGACCCCUGCUGUGCCGAAGUCAACACAUUAAGCACUCCGCCUGGGGAGUACGGUCGCAAGACUG
Molecule: ribosomal RNA, 373 nt
Filed under: uncultured organism
Description: bacterial SSU rRNA
Rfam family: Bacterial small subunit ribosomal RNA
Source: RNAcentral